CUCUUGAUCUCUCCUUCUCUUUAAGAAUUCCUUUUUCUUUAGUAAUUCACCCCUAAAUCCUACAAAGCUCUGCCCGUUUUAUGUAUUGUAACCCCUGAUCACUGAAUCGAUACCCUGUCCGAUUGAUUUAGGACCCACCAACGCUUGUCAAGGCUCUGCCCGACUAAGUACGUCGGGGUUCUGUCUCGUGACAUAUUGAUAAAGUUGAUUGGGUUACUAUACUUAACAAAAGUGCAUUACAUAUAUUUUUAAAUAGUUCAGAAGUUAUACCCAAAAUAUAACAACUCUCCUAAAAUCCUUACAAACACCCCUAUACAUCUUAAAAUACACCCGUAUAUGCAAACGACCCCGGAAUACCUUUGUUUCAUUAAAAACCAAAUAAAACAAGAAAUGGGAGGCUCUCGCGGGGUGCGACUCCCUUAAGGUAAGCCGUCGCGGGCCGCGACCCAGUACCACUAGGCGGCAUCCCAGCCCGCCACGUGGCAUAACACUCGGCAACCCUACACUUGUGACUCGCCAACCCUAUAGCCUACCCUACAUCCCUCGCGGGCCGCGAAGGCCAUUAGUGUAUCUCUCGCGGGGCGUGAGAACCUCCUGGAUCAGCUAUAAAAGGAACAGAAAGCAGCCAUUUCAAUCGUUCAACUUUCUUAUUUCCUCUCAAAUUCUAAUAGGCUAAAACUAUAGCCGAACACCCCCUAAUUAGCGAAGCUCUGCCUCGUUAUUAUAACCAGGAAGUCACAAAGGAAAAACCUAAAGUAGCAAUGUAACUUAGUGUGAAGCCAAUAAAAGCCAGCUGGAGAGCACUGAAGGCUUAGAAAAGUGUCCAUAAAAGUUACCUAACUAAAAAGGAGAAUUCUUUUCAAUAAUUAUGGUUAUUACCUAUAAAAAGUACUAAAAUGAAAAUCGGGUUUUAUCCCAGUAUUCUAUUUUAAAGAUUUUGGUGUUUAAGUCUGAUAAAAAUAUUUCCUAACUACGGUCCUGACGAAAAUUUCCGCUGCCAAAUUAAUAAACACAGAUACCAUCUGACUGGUUCGCGGCUCCCGCUCCCAGGGUGGGGUCGGGGGAUGUGACAUUUUGUACUUAUGUUUUUUUAUGUAUUAUUGCUUUCAUUAGAUGAAUAAGUGCCAGGGUUCAGAUUUUGAUUUUGUGUGAUACUCAUACAUUUAUACAAGUUGGUUAGCUUCUAUAGUUUAUGAAAUGUAAUAACUAAAAACAUAAGAUAUACAAGUAUGCAUAUAUGUAGUAUUUACUUUACUAAUAAGUAUAUGAUGUUACUUAUCCUUGCAGAUAUGUAGGAUGAACUUCAAGAGCAUGCAAAAUCUAUUGAUAUGGCUAAUGGUUAGCUUUUCUCUUCAGGCAAGGAAGAUGCAAGUGGUAGGUCUAAGCAAAGCAGAAGUUAGAAAAAAAAGGCGGAAGGCUAAGUUAAAGCUUGGAAUGAAGCCCAUUCUUGGAGUUAGUCAUGUUACCAGGAAAAAGAGCAUGAAUAUGUUUGUAAGUCUCUUGCUUUAGACACAUAUAUGUAAUGUUUGGACGUUUGGUGAAGCGAAAAUAGAGGAUCUGAAUUCACAGUUGCAGAGUCGGGCAGCAAAGCAUUUCAAGGCACCUAACCUUAGUAACGUUCCCCAGAGCCAACAACCAUGACUCAAUGUGAUGAUGAUGUAGAUGAGACUCGGGUAGAGGCCAAUGAAAUUGAGUUGGUUGUGACCCAAGCUGGAGUCUCAAUAUAAAAUGCGUCCAAGGCUUUAAAGGAUGCAAAUGGUGACAUUGUAUAUGCAAUUUUGAAACUCACAACUUAAAAGUGAUCGACUCACUGUCAUAAUUUUUGUUUUAGUUUUUUUUUUUUGAAGGAAAACAUAUCGUUCAAAGAAAUAAAUUUCUAAUUUUCGUUUUAA
Molecule: long non-coding RNA, 1892 nt
Organism: Helianthus annuus (common sunflower)
Lineage: Eukaryota; Viridiplantae; Streptophyta; Magnoliopsida; Asterales; Asteraceae
Exons: 5
Source: RefSeq, a predicted model, not a curated record